Molecule: long non-coding RNA, 754 nt
Filed under: Anser brachyrhynchus (Pink-footed goose)
Lineage: Eukaryota; Metazoa; Chordata; Aves; Anseriformes; Anatidae
Description: lncRNA (ENSABRG00000008296.1)
Source: RNAcentral
AUGAAUCUUGUUUAUGUAGUACUAUCCAAUUGUAGAGAGAAGUGUUUACCUGCUUGUUUAUUAAUUUACAGUUGUGUUCCCCAGCUGCAAUCAGAGCAGUUUCUCUUUCAGAAGUUUAUUAAAAGCAAGCAUCAAAGAGAAGGUCUUCCACCAAGGGCUGGGAAAUGCAUAAAGCUCUUCCCUGUAGGAGGAGUGGUAUCUCCCAUAUGCAUCUGUAGAAAAUUGUUGGAAAGUGUUCUACAAAGACCAAGAGAAAUGUCAAAGGCAAGUGCAGAGAGUGAACAUGACUAUGUGGGAAGAAGAGUGAAGAUUCAUGCCCAGAAAACAUUAUUCUUACCUCACACCAGUUUUACUUCGUGUUACUUCGUUGAACAUGCUAGGAUGAGAUCAGCUAGCUGUACAGUGAGAUGUGACGAUCAGGAUAUUUACAGCAUGGGAUGUGACCUUCGGCUGCCCUGGAGUUCACCGUACUCUGUGACUGUGCGGGACCAUACAUGAUCUGAAAUAGAAAACCUGACCAUAGCUAUCUGAAUGGAAGACUUUGGGCUGGGUGUUGCACAAAAAAAAAAAAAAUUGUGUACUCUCAGGUCUGUGGUAGAAAAUUUCUCCAAGGUGCAAGAUGACCUCAGAAACAUUCUCAUGUUUGCGCUGUUUUUGUUUGUUUCUGUUUUAUUUGUUAUUUCUGAAAAGAGGGAAAUAAGAAUUUACAGAUUUUUCUUUUUUUUCUUCAGAAAUAAAAUAUAAUCAUGUCACA